ACGGAGCGGGCGGGGCUCGGGGUCUUCCGGAGCCUCCGGUCGCGGGUCUAAGAGGACUAGGGCGGGAGCGGCGCGAAAGAAAGAGAGGACUGCGUUUUGGGGCGUUCUGUCAGAGGGGAAAGACGUGUGGAUUGGAGUCAGACUGCACUCCCGCCCUAUUUCUGCAAGUAGAACUCACUGCCUUUAGAAACGGUCUUCUGAGGCUCUGUUGGGAGGCUCUAACAGUAUUACGGAGGACACAUUUUUGUUUGUUUUUAUGUGAAACGUUCAGAAGUUGCUUGCAUCAAGUGCUUUACAAGUACACUGGUUUUCAAACUUUUUAAGUUGAGGAACUGUUGAUUUUUGUAAAAAUAGAACUUUACUUGGAAGCCCAAGGUCGCUUAGAAACUAGUAGUCUCAGAACAUGGAGUGGAAGAGGUGAUCAUGGUAGCAACAGACUGAGGAGUGAAUUUGCACAUGAGUUUUGUCUUGCUGUUUUUCAUUGACGGAACCCAAUUGGAAAUCAGAAUACAAGGGCACUCGAUUAUUUCAGUUCACAGAGGACUUCUUCCUGUGGCACGGAACAUGGUGGGGAAAGGUACAAAGUAGACCUCGAGAAACAAACAGCAUGGUGACCAGUCACAAAAUGUAUACAGAAAAUUAACAGAUUUUUUUUCCUUGAAGAGAUCAAAUCUAAAAAACAGUAUAAAAAUAAGAAUGUGCAGGAUCUAUAUAAAGAAAUCUAUACUCUACCAAGGUACCUGAAAAAAUACACAGAUAAAUGAAGGCUUAUGGCUUGAUUUUAGGUAUAAAAAGUUAAUGUUUGAAGACAUCCAUUUAUCCACCUGGAUCAACAUGGUCAUUAUUUUUUAAAUCAAAGUCCCAAGAGCUCCAUUUCACAACCUGAAACUAUUUAAAAUCAUGUUAGAAAAUUAAAUAGUAAGAAAAUACUAGAAAAAAUCAGAAGAAUGAGUAGAAUCAUAGAGCUACAAUAAUUAAAAUAGGAUGGUUUGGGGGGAAAGAUCAGUAAGUUAGAUUAAUGAAAUUGCAUAGAAAAGCAAGAAAUUGAUUAUUAUAUUUCUAUGGGCACGUGAAAACUGUGGCAUUUCUAAUCACAGGGGAACUUAUAGAUUAUAAGAUAAAAGACAUUAGGCCUAUUGGAUAACUAGUUUAGAGAAAAGAAAAUUCAGUUAAGAUCUGACCUCAAGAAAAAAAUGUAAAUAGAUUAAAUGUGUAUAUGUAAAAUCAAAAAAAUCAUGAAUAUAUAAAUAAAAUUCGAUAAGUGUUUCUAUAUUUCAGAUGUGGGUCUACACGGUAAUUUUAUAAUAAAUCAAUUAAAAGAUAUACUAAAAUCAUUUUAACUGGGUGAAAACCAUUUUCACUCACUUAAUUUUUUAAAAUGGUGAAAUCCACUCAUAAACAGUAGCCAGAAAUCAAAGUCAGAAGGCUAGUAUGUAUUUAAAAAGCUAAAGGGUUAGCUUUAUGAGUGUCCAACCUAUGGAGUCACACAGGACCAUAGUUAAUAAUGGCCCCAUACUUGGUUUGAUAUUCUGCUGUCACAGUCUUGAAAUCCUUAACAAUUUUUGAACAAAGAGCCCUGGAUUUUCGUUUUGCACUCAGUCCUGCAAAUUAGGUAGUGAUCCUAGUUAACCUUCCCAUAUACUGAGUGAAAUACAAAUUAAAACCUGAAUUUAAAAAUUGUUUUUAGGUUGAAAACAGUAAAAUAAAAACACUUAUUUUUUUUACUUGACAACAUCAAGAAUGCAGAAAAAGAAACACUCAUAUACCUUUAGUUCAACCAUUUGCAAAUACUCAAGAAUCAUAUAUCAAAAUUUAAAGUGAAUACUUUUUUUUUUUUUUCUUUUUUUUUUUUUUUGAGACGGAGUCUCGCUCUGUCGCCCAGGCUGGAGUGCAGUGGCGCGAUCUCGGCUCACUGCAAGCUCCGCCUCCCGGGUUCACGCCAUUCUCCUGCCUCAGCCUCCCGAGUAGCUGGGACUACAGGCGCCCGCUACCACGCCCGGCUAAUUUUUUGUAUUUUUAGUAGAGACGGGGUUUCACCGUGUUAGCCAGGAUGGUCUCGAUCUCCUGACCUCGUGAUCCGCCCGCCUCGGCCUCCCAAAGUGCUGGGAUUACAGGCGUGAGCCACCGCGCCCGGCCUAAAGUGAAUACUUUUUAUUGAGCAUUUUUUUCUACAGGAAUACAUCUACAGGAACUAAUUGAACCCAUACAUAAAAAUCAGGAUAUUUAUCACAGUAUUGCUAAUAAUAACAAAAAUAUGUGAACCAAUCUAAAUGUUCAUAAAAAUUGGUUAUAUAUUGAAGGAUACAUUUCUGUAGUUUCAUUUAUGCUUCAACCUUAAAUGUGAUAUAAAUAUACGUAUAAACACACACAUUUGAAAUGUAAAGAUGUACAGUAGAGUGAUAUGGAAAGAUACUCAUGAUUCAUUGUUACGUGGAAAGCCAACUAUGUAACAGCAAAGAUAGUGAAAUGCUACAGGUAGCUAUACAGAACUUUUUAUAUAUAGGUAUAAAAAUGUGUGAAAAGAAAAACAAAGAUAUUUUUAUCCAGAAUUACGGGAACUUUUAUUUUCUUGUUGCAAUUUUAGAUAGCCUUCCUUUUAACAAUGGGCUUUUAUUUCUAUUAAAAUAGAAAAAUAAAUCAGCUUGAACUAAUAAGAACUGGGUCAUUUAUGGCUGUGAUCAUUUAAAUAUUUAAAUAAAUAAUUUCCAAAAAUAGUUAUUUUUUAAUAAAACAAAGGAAUUAAUGUAAACAGUUUGGAAAGAAAAGUUCAAUAACUUUAAAAAGUUAUGUUGUUUCAAACAUGUCAAUUAUACAGCUAAAAAUUGGGGGGUGUAAGUAUGAGUAUACUAGUUUCCUAAUCUUAAAAAUCAGCAAUUACAUCUAUACUGCUUCAGCCCUGACACAGAUAGGUAGAAGAAUAUAGGUUUCAUUUUAUUUUUGCAAAGCAUAAAGGUAGUCAAAUUUACAAAGAUUUUGAGAAGCAUAGAAAAUAAUUUCAGAUGGUACAUGAUUAUGAGAUAGAAACGUGAGGUAGUAUGUCUUGAACUGGAGUGAAGAAUAGUACUUAAUGUGAAAAAUAAUAAUUUAUACAGAUUCAAAUUCAAUUAAAAAGGAAACCAUAUCACAAUGAACUGCAGAAAAUUUUAGUCUUUCAUCUAAAAUGAGAACACACAGAAUGUAGCUGAAUCCAGAUGAUGUAUUACAGUCAUUGAGUUAAUUCUCUAUGCUGAUUAAAAUAAAGACAUAAUCUCCCAUAAAUUGCUUCCUGAUAUUCCUUUAAGUUGUUUUACUCGAACGAGAUUUAAGAUGGAGAAAUAUAGCAGACAUCUAAAUGCAGGACCACCUGCAGGUUGAGUCUCAGAAGUCUGAUGAGUAGAGAUACUUCAGUCAGGUGUCUGAUGCAAAACAUCACAUUUCUAUCAUCAUUUUCAACUGGAAAGGGGCUUCUUGGAGGUAAUCUAGGACUAUAUGGUAGUCAGAUUGAAAAGUAACAUAAUACAAAUUUCAUCUGUAUAUUUGAACUAUUAAAAUUUACUUUAAAAAAUUAUUGGAUAUUUAGUCAUCUUGCCAAAAUCACUUAAAGUAUAUUAAGUUAUUUUAUGCACUCUUUGGAAACAUUUUUACUUAUGUAAUCAAAGUGGUAGAAUAAGAAACAUUAUAUAAAAAUUCAAAAGUUGAAUCCACUUUGUCUGUAUUCAUUAUAUUGACAGCUGGAUAAAAUAAAAUAAUUAAAGAACUUAUGCCUUUCAGAACAUUAACAGUUUCUAACUGCUUCAGUUAUUCAAGAUAAGUUCUGGAUAUCUAUACAGCAUAGUGACCAUAAGUAGCAAUACUAUUUUAUUGUUAAAAUUUAUUAAGAUAGUAGGUCUUAUGUUAAUUCUUUCUAACACACAAACACACACAGAUUAAAAAAAAGGGAGUGGGAAGAAACUUUUGGAGGUGAUGGAUAUUUAUAACCUUGAAGAUGGUGAUGCGUCAUGGAUGUAUACUUACUGCUAAACUUAUGAAGUUGUAUAUGCUAAAUACGUACAGCGUUUUACAUGUCAAUCAUAUGUCAGUAAAGUGGUUU
Molecule: long non-coding RNA, 4069 nt
Organism: Pan troglodytes (chimpanzee)
Lineage: Eukaryota; Metazoa; Chordata; Mammalia; Primates; Hominidae
Exons: 3
Source: RefSeq, a predicted model, not a curated record